Molecule: non-coding RNA, 76 nt
Organism: Entomophthora muscae
Lineage: Eukaryota; Fungi; Entomophthoromycota; Entomophthoromycetes; Entomophthorales; Entomophthoraceae
Source: the annotation of a GenBank genome assembly
GCAUUGUUGGUUUAGUGGUAUAAUGGCCGCCUGCCACUGCCCACGGCCGACCCGGGUUCGAUAAUCGGACAAUGCA